GUCGACGGCCAUACCACCCUGAACACGCCCGAUCUCUGAUCUCGGAAGCUAAGUAGGGUCGGGCGUGGUUAGUACUUGGACGGGAGACCGCCUGGGAAUACAGGGUGCUGUAGGCU
Callithrix jacchus (white-tufted-ear marmoset) is the source of this 116-nucleotide ribosomal RNA. The record is from Ensembl. NCBI's taxonomy places the organism in Eukaryota, Metazoa, Chordata, Mammalia, Primates, Cebidae.